AUUAAGAAAAACAAAACCAAAAAAUUUCACAAUCACUUUGCUCAUCUUCCAGAAAGAUGAGGAACGGACAGCCAUCAGGGCAUCGCGGUGAGGCGCUUGUGAUUUGACGGCCUCCUGGGGUUGUCACGAACUGUCACAGAUCUGUACUGUUCUCAACUUUGGCGAGAUGAGCUUCUUUGAAGUGGGUAGUGGUUAAGGCAGAGGUUCAUAACUGGUCAAAAUGCUGAGAACAAAUAACCCUGAGCAUUUGGCAUUGGAUCUGUAUCAACCUUCCGCCACCGGAGACGCUAGGAACUUUAUGGAAAUGGCGGGCAGAAAGAACAAGAGAACCUGUGGAUGGAAAAGAGAGCUGUGAAUGGCUGACUUCUGGAGAUGACCCGGCUGUUGCACAGGUCAGCUCACAGCAGCUGUGGUUAUCCACACACCAUCAAGCCAGUCAAAAUUUCAGUAUGGACGAGGAAGGACCCCAAGGAGCUGUCUGUUGAUGGCUGGCCGUUCUCCUUUGUGGAUGCGGAUGCUGAUCUCCAAGAACUCCGUCCAAGUCUAGAGCCUCUGAACGGUGUAAGUCGCUGGCAGGUAGAGCAUGCCCCGAGCAGUCAGCCGCUGCGGGCUGUGCUUUCAUGUCCAGAGCUGCACUGUUGCAUAACGGCAUUAGCGAACCGGACCGAUUCAACUGCGCCAAACUCUGAUAUUUCAGCUAAAAUCAUUUUACAACAUCUUAUUAAGGGAGAAGUAAGUCAUACAAACUGCCAGUCAUUGUAAUAACAUCAGAUUCGAUGUUUUUCCUCCAAAUAGCAAGUCCGAGAAUAAGGAGAAUUUACAGCUUUACAACAGAUAGCAGUUCUAAAGUUGCAACGUCUGGUUCUGACUAAACAGGCUGAGCUUUGAAGGACAUAAGACAUUUUUACUGUUUGAUUUUAAUAAAAAUGCAGCUCGCUCUUGGAGUGUCCUAGGUUUUACAACCCAAAAAUGAAAUGAACGUGUGUCAUUUCUCAUAUGUGUGUGCCAUUAAACGUCCCAGUUUCUAUCGUGUUGCUUACUGAAGGAAACAGGAGCAUGGUGAAGUGAAGGCAGCCUGCUCCCCCCAGCUCCGGGGAGGCAGCCCUCCUGUGAGCUACACAAAGGCAAGGGCCAGCAGCAGCAGCAGGCCAGGGGCCAGUGGGCCAGGUCUGUAGGCUAAACUCAGAGGUAAGUUUAAUACACCAGAAUUGCUGAUGUCUCAGCUAAGGCCUGUUGGUUGCUAUGCCUCCCUCUUCUAUGUAGUUCUUGUUUUAAAAUUUUUAAUUUCCCAAGCUGGAAAUGGUGUUACAUGCUUUUAAUCCCAGCGCUUGGAGGCCAAAGCAGAAGUAUUUAAAGUCUGAGAUCAUUCUGGGUUCUAUAAUGAGAUCUUGUCUCAAAAAUGUUGUUAUUCAAUUUUCAUACUCUAAUUUUAAAAUUGCACCUUUUGUAAGUAACAAUAAAACCUUUUUUUUUAAAAAAAGGAAUUAAAAAAUAAUUAUGGGCUGGCGAGAUGACCCAGUGGUUAAGAGCAUUGGCUGGUUCUUCAGGAUCUGGGUUUGAUUCACAGAGACCAUACAUGGCUCACACUGUAUUUAGGAGAUACAGUGUCCUCUUCUGGCCUCCUUGGGCACCAGACAUCACCAGGCGUGCCACUGGUGCACAGAUAUUCACACAGGCCAAGCACAUGUGUGUGAUGUGUGGAGGUCAGAGGACAACUUGAGGGAGCUGAUUCUCUCCUUCCGUUAUGUGGGUCUCGGGGGCCCAAUCCAGCCAUCAGCAAGAACUUUUAUCUGCGGAGCCACCUCACUGACCCCCACCUACUGUCUUCUUGAGACAAGUGCAAUAGUGGAUUUCACAUCUGACAAUGGCUAAACGAUGACAACUGGCCUUGGGGUCUAGAAAUCACAGCUGUGCCUAUGGGCCAACGGCUGUGUGAGCCUCAAGCAAUCUCAGGCAAACAGCAUUGAACAGAGGCUCUAUAGGUAGAGCAGAAGGCUGUGAACAGUUGAGGGAGUCGGGUAAAGAAGGCCUGGGAUAAGAAAAAGACCACCCGACCAUGGUGCUGUCAAAAGGAUGAAGUCUAUGGUGUGCUAAUUGUAUCCUGAGUUUUAAGAACAGAAGGAAAAUCUAGAGCAUUCUGGGUGACAUCAAUGCUAUGGCUGGAAGCUUAGGUUCAUGACUCCUGGAGCCCCCUUCCCCAAAGCCUGCUCCUGCUCCCCUCUCCUGCCGACACACCAGCCUGUAGCACUAGCGAAUGAGGCCUUUGUCAAAAUUCCGCUGGUUUCUAGGCACAAGGAGUCAACAUGGACGUCCCGAGUCACUCUCCUGUGGACUCUUGAUACUUCUUUUCUCCCUCUGCUUUCUCUUCAUUCUUCUCACGGGAAGGGGAGAUUUCUAUCCCACGUUUGUGUGUAUCUGUGCGUCUGUAUGCAUGUUAACGCACAUGGGGCUCUGUGCACAUGGGUAACAGUUUGACGCUGGGCAUCCCUCUUCAUCAGCUUAUGCUUUUAUUUCCCGAGGUAGGGUCUCCUGGUGAACUUGGAGCUGCGUCUCUGCCUCAGGAAUGAGUGCUGGGGCUUAGCUGGAUUACAGAGCUAGCACAACAUGCCGACUCGGCCUGGAUUUGGGGGAUCUGAACCCCAGUCUCUACGCUCACACACUGAGUCACCUCCCCACCAUCUUCCAUUAAGUUUUAUACCCUGACAAACCCCCUGAGACAAAAGGAAGGAACACCUGUCAAUCACCUUCCUUGAUGUAUCUGUUCUCUUCUUAAGUCUAAGGACAAAAUUCUAUACUCUGGAUGGCAAGAGCAAGGGUCUGGUCGGUUUCCACUUAGAUACCCUGUGGAUGUUCACAAAGAAUGUCCAUUGUACCUUUAAGGAUCCUGAAACUGAUUACAAAAUGGGACCAGCGAUAGCGAGGGAACAUUUCCGGAAAACAACAUAAAGCUAAUAAAAACUGGCGUUGUUUGCUGUUGUGUCUAAACACAACCACACUUCAAAUAACCCCCGAGGAACAUUUCCCACCGGAGGAGGCAGGAUGUGUGUGGAGAUGGGAUCUUAUAAAAGCACCAGAGAAAGGCGGAAACAGAGAUCAUCAUUUAAGAUGUGAAAUGACACAAACCGCUCACGGAGGACCUUAGCUUCCUGCCACUUUGGAGGCUCCUGGAUUUGCCAGAGAAAACGGUAACAGUUUUCUGCUUUAACUGGGCUUGCCUCAGAGACUUCUGCCCAUCCUUUUAUACCCCAGACAAUCAAACUAAGUGAAGUUAGUCUGGGCUGCUUUUGAGGAGGUAGGGAUGGGACACGGGUAAAAUGAUUGCUGGAGAGCUGGCUCGGUCAUUUUAAGAUGUUGACUGCGCAGAUGUUAGGACCUGAGUUUGAUUCUUAGAACCCACAUAAGAAAGUGGAUACAAUGGCUCAUGUGUGUAACCCAAGUGCUGAGGAUGUGGAAGCAGGCAGAUCCUCAAGGCUUACUAGCCAAUCAGUCUAGCUUACUCUGCAAGCUCCAGGCUAGGGAGCUCAAAAUCAAGGUGCUGGCACCUGAGGAAUGACACCUGAGGCUGGCCUCUAGCCUUCAUGGGUAUGUGUAAUCAUGUGUGUACACACACGCAGGUGCACACACAUACACACACACGUAGACCACCAACACCAUAAACAACGACAAAAUGAAUGGUAUGUCAAAAACUUCUGGCGGACACUGACUGCCACACGACCAGUGGUAGAGAAGAGGAGGCCCAUGGGUAUUAUCUCAUGUUAGACUUCUGUGCCUGAGCUCCCUUGCUUGGUUUAAAUCCCAGCUCUGCUUCUUCCUUGCUGUAUGACCGUGGCAAGUUCUCUGACCCCCUAUAUGUCUGUUUUAUUUGUAAACUGAGGCUAUUCCCAGAGUGUUCUAGGAUUUUAUACAGAAAAAGCCAUAAGUAUGUUUCCUGGCAUAGAUUUGUUCUAGACAAGUUCUGUUCAAUAAAA
Molecule: long non-coding RNA, 3968 nt
Organism: Alexandromys fortis (reed vole)
Lineage: Eukaryota; Metazoa; Chordata; Mammalia; Rodentia; Cricetidae
Exons: 3
Source: RefSeq, a predicted model, not a curated record